CUCGUAGGCGGUUCGUCGCGUCCGGUGUGAAAGUCCAUCGCUUAACGGUGGAUCUGCGCCGGGUACGGGCGGGCUGGAGUGCGGUAGGGGAGACUGGAAUUCCCGGUGUAACGGUGGAAUGUGUAGAUAUCGGGAAGAACACCAAUGGCGAAGACAGGUCUCUGGGCCGUUACUGACGCUGAGGCUCGAAAGCCAGGGGAGCGAACG
RNAcentral lists this ribosomal RNA (207 nucleotides) under uncultured bacterium. Its description in RNAcentral is "partial 16S ribosomal RNA". It matches the Rfam family "Bacterial small subunit ribosomal RNA", at positions 568 to 774 of the family's 1533-position model. The record is from RNAcentral.